GAAUUUUGGGCAAUGGGCGAAAGCCUGACCCAGCAACGCCGCGUGAAGGAUGAAAUCCCUCGGGAUGUAAACUUCGCAAGAACGGGAAGAAUAAGUCGGUGUUAACAUCACCGAUGAUGACGGUACUGUUUGUAAGCUCCGGCUAACUCCGUGCCAGCAGCCGCGGGAAGACGGGGGGAGCGAGGGUUGUGCGGAUUUACUGGGCGUAAAGGGCGCGUAGGCGGCCAGCGCAAGUCGACUGUGAAAUUUCCGGGCUUAACUCGGAAAGGUCAGCCGAUACUGCGGGGCUAGAGUGCAGAAGGGGCAACUGGAAUUCUCGGUGUAGCGGUGAAAUGCGUAGAUAUCGAGAGGAACACCUGCGGCGAAGGCGGGUUGCUGGGCUGACACUGACGCUGAGGCGCGAAAGCUAGGGGAGCGAACGGG
This 423-nucleotide ribosomal RNA is filed under the name uncultured bacterium. RNAcentral describes it as "bacterial SSU rRNA". It matches the Rfam family "Bacterial small subunit ribosomal RNA", at positions 359 to 776 of the family's 1533-position model. The record is from RNAcentral.